CACGCCGUAAACGAUGAGUGCUAGGUGUCAAGGGGUUUCCGCCCCUUGGUGCUGCAGUUAACGCAUUAAGCACUCCGCCUGGGGAGUACGGCCGCAAGGCUGAAACUCAAAAGAAUUGACGGGGGCCCGCACAAGCGGUGGAGCAUGUGGUUUAAUUCGAAGCAACGCGAAGAACCUUACCAGGUCUUGACAUCCUCUGAUACCUCUAGAGAUAGAGCAUUCCCUUCGGGGACAGAGUGACAGGUGG
This 247-nucleotide ribosomal RNA is filed under the name uncultured Bacillaceae bacterium. Its description in RNAcentral is "partial 16S ribosomal RNA". It matches the Rfam family "Bacterial small subunit ribosomal RNA", at positions 796 to 1041 of the family's 1533-position model. Lineage: Bacteria; Bacillati; Bacillota; Bacilli; Caryophanales; Bacillaceae. The record is from RNAcentral.